GUGCCUUAUAACUCACCCCUUCUUGUGGGCCGGCUCCAGGUCACCAGCAUAGUCCAUAGUGGGAGCUGGUGACGAUGACACUGGAGGACCUGAAAAUGGGGGCUAGCUCGCUACAGAAACCAGACCAGCCAGGCAGAGUCCUACUAUAGGCAUGCAGCUCAGCUUGUCCCCUCUAAUGGCCAGCCUUAUAAUCAGUUGGCUAUCUUAGCCUCUUCCAAAGGAGACCAUCUGACCACAAUUUUCU
This is a non-coding RNA of Manis javanica (Malayan pangolin), 244 nucleotides long. The record is from RefSeq and is a predicted model, not a curated record. NCBI's taxonomy places the organism in Eukaryota, Metazoa, Chordata, Mammalia, Pholidota, Manidae.